Molecule: ribosomal RNA, 306 nt
Filed under: uncultured bacterium
Lineage: Bacteria
Description: partial 16S ribosomal RNA
Rfam family: Bacterial small subunit ribosomal RNA
Source: RNAcentral
GACAGCAGCAGCCGCGGUAAUACAGAGGGUGCGAGCGUUAAUCGGAUUUACUGGGCGUAAAGCGUGCGUAGGCGGCUUCUUAAGUCGGAUGUGAAAUCCCUGAGCUUAACUUAGGAAUUGCAUUCGAUACUGGGAAGCUAGAGUAUGGGAGAGGAUGGUAGAAUUCCAGGUGUAGCGGUGAAAUGCGUAGAGAUCUGGAGGAAUACCGAUGGCGAAGGCAGCCAUCUGGCCUAAUACUGACGCUGAGGUACGAAAGCAUGGGGAGCAAACAGGAUUAGAUACCCCCGUAGUCCCUGUCUCUUAUAA